GACGAACGCUGGCGGCGUGCCUAAUACAUGCAAGUCGAACGAGAGCGACCGGUGCUUGCACUGGUCAAUCUAGUGGCGAACGGGUGAGUAACACGUGGGUAACCUGCCCAUCAGAGGGGGAUAACAUCCGGAAACGGAUGCUAAAACCGCAUAGGUCUUCGAGCCGCAUGGCUUGAAGAGGAAAAGAGGCGCAAGCUUCUGCUGAUGGAUGGACCCGCGGUGCAUUAGCUAGUUGGUGAGGUAACGGCUCACCAAGGCCGUGAUGCAUAGCCGACCUGAGAGGGUGGUCGGCCACAUUGGGACUGAGACACGGCCCAAACGCCUACGGGAGGCAGCAGUAGGGAAUCGUCCGCAAUGGACGCAAGUCUGACGGAGCAACGCCGCGUGAGUGAAGAAGGUUUUCGGAUCGUAAAACUCUGUUGUUAGAGAAGAACAAGUGCUAGAGUAACUGUUAGCGCCUUGACGGUAUCUAACCAGAAAGCCACGGCUAACUACGUG
RNAcentral lists this ribosomal RNA (498 nucleotides) under uncultured bacterium. RNAcentral's name for it is "partial 16S ribosomal RNA". It matches the Rfam family "Bacterial small subunit ribosomal RNA", at positions 28 to 507 of the family's 1533-position model. The record is from RNAcentral.